GGGGAAUAUUGCACAAUGGGGGAAACCCUGAUGCAGCGACGCCGCGUGGAGGAAGAAGAUCUUCGGAUUGUAAACUCCUGUUGUUGAGGAAGAUAAUGACGGUACUCAACAAGGAAGUGACGGCUAACUACGUGCCAGCAGCCGCGGUAAAACGUAGGUCACAAGCGUUGUCCGGAAUUACUGGGUGUAAAGGGAGCGCAGGCGGGAGAACAAGUUGGAAGUGAAAUCCAUGGGCUCAACCCAUGAACUGCUUUCAAAACUGUUUUUCUUGAGUAGUGCAGAGGUAGGCGGAAUUCCCGGUGUAGCGGUGGAAUGCGUAGAUAUCGGGAGGAACACCAGUGGCGAAGGCGGCCUACUGGGCACCCAACUGACGCUGAGGCUCGAAAGUGUGGGUAGCAAACAGGAUUAGAUACCCUGGUAGUCCACACCGUAAACGAUGAUUACUAGGUGUUGGAGGAUUGACCCCUUCAGUGCCGCAGUUAACACAAUAAGUAAUCCACCUGGGGAGUACGACCGCAAGGUUGAAACUCAAAGGAAUUGACGGGGGCCCGCACAAGCAGUGGAGUAUGUGGUUUAAUUCGACGCAACGCGAAGAACCUUACCAAGUCUUGACAUCCCUUGACGAUGCUGGAAACAGUAUUUCUCUUCGGAGCAAGGAGACAGGUGGUGCAUGGUUGUCGUCAGCUCGUGUCGUGAGAUGUUGGGUUAAGUCCCGCAACGAGCGCAACCCUUAUGGUCAGUUACUACGCAAGAGGACUCUGGCCAGACUGCCGUUGACAAAACGGAGGAAGGUGGGGAUGACGUCAAAUCAUCAUGCCCUUUAUGACUUGGGCUACACACGUACUACAAUGGCGUUAAACAAAGAGAAGCAAGACCGCGAGGUGGAGCAAAACUCAGAAACAACGUCCCAGUUCGGACUGCAGGCUGCAACUCGCCUGCACGAAGUCGGAAUUGCUAGUAAUCGUGGAUCAGCAUGCCACGGUGAAUACGUUCCCG
This 996-nucleotide ribosomal RNA is filed under the name uncultured bacterium. RNAcentral describes it as "bacterial SSU rRNA". It matches the Rfam family "Bacterial small subunit ribosomal RNA", at positions 356 to 1376 of the family's 1533-position model. The record is from RNAcentral.